AUUGAACGCUGGCGGCAGGCCUAACACAUGCAAGUCGAGCGAGCGGCGGACGGGUGAGUAGUGUAUGAGGAUCUGCCCGAUAGAGGGGGAUAACUACUGGAAACGGUGGCAAAUACCGCAUACUAUCGGCUGAACCCAUAUGGGAUUAGCUAGUGGGGGGGGUAAAGGAUCACCAAGGCGACGAUCUCUAGCUGGUCGGAGAGGAUGAUCAGCCACACGGGGACUGAGACACGGCCCAGACUCCUACGGGAGGCAGCAGUGGGGAAUAUUGCACAAUGGGCGCAAGCCUGAGGCAGCCACGCCGCGUGUAUGAAGAAGGCCUUCGGGUUGUAAAGUUCUGUCAGCGGGGAGGCGUUACCUGCAGAAGAAGCACCGGCUAACUCCGUGCCAGCAGCCGCGGUAAUAC
Molecule: ribosomal RNA, 406 nt
Filed under: uncultured bacterium
Lineage: Bacteria
Description: partial 16S ribosomal RNA
Rfam family: Bacterial small subunit ribosomal RNA
Source: RNAcentral